Molecule: non-coding RNA, 693 nt
Organism: Salmo salar (Atlantic salmon)
Lineage: Eukaryota; Metazoa; Chordata; Actinopteri; Salmoniformes; Salmonidae
Source: RefSeq, a predicted model, not a curated record
AGACAGACCCUUCUCUGCCGUGUCCUUGGUGCAGACUGUGCUUAGAUGGCAUAGCAUAUAACUAGAACAUAUUUCUGCACUUUUUGGUUUCGUUUUACAAAUUCAUUCAAAGUCAGACAAAAAGGUGGUAGCUUUAUUUUGGCAGCUUUGUGUUACCGUCUUAUUAACACAAAUCUUUACAAUGUCUACAGAUAAAAAGCUUCAUGGGUUAAAACACUUUUAAUGACUUUCAUUUUGAGGAUAACUGCAAUAGGCUAUGAUGAUUAUAACACUUGAUUAUAACACUUGGAAGAUAGCCACCGGGAGAAAGGGAUGGAAGAGAAGCCAGAUGCUCAACGGAAGAGAAGAAGGUCACGUCUGGCAAGGCCAAAAAGAAAUCAGCAGACCAAGGCACUGAAGAAGGUCCCUCAGUGGCAUUCUGUUCACCCAGAGCGCAGUAUCCAGAUAAAUACCAAAACAGAGCGGCAGUAAUUCAACUCUUACAGGAGGAAGGAACUACGGAAGAGUCUACUUUACCCAAGAGGACGUCUGCUUCCCAAUCAUCAUUCAUUUCAUGAGGAAUCUCACUGAUAGGAAGUGGAAGGUGAUUCAGGAGGGCAUGAGAAAUCCUACAACCAAAGCACACCUUGCCAAAAUGUAUAGGAAGAUAGCGAAAACGGUUUCCCACAUGGCGGUAGAGAUCCUCAUCCUGAC